CGAAAUGGACGGAAACAUGCCAGUGUUUUGCUGCGUAAAAAGGAUUUAAUCUACAAAAUUGAGCUUGCAGGGGGCCUGGGAGCAAUCUUCCUCCUCCUUGUACUGCUGGUGGUCAUUUACAAAUGCUACAACAUUGAAUUGAUGCUCUUCUACAGGCAGCACUUUGGAGCUGAUGAAACUAAUGAUGACAACAAGGAAUAUGAUGCCUAUCUCUCUUACACAAAAGUGGACCAAGAUACUUUAGACUGUGACAAUCCUGAAGAAGAGCAGUUUGCUCUUGAAGUACUGCCAGAUGUCCUGGAAAAACACUAUGGAUAUAAACUCUUCAUCCCAGAAAGAGACCUGAUUCCAAGUGGAAAUCCAACUUCUAAUGAUGAAGCUUCCCACAUAACUUCUUUCUUUUUGGGAGCAGAAAGAAAGGAAGAAAAUGAAGAGUCAGAGCUGUUGAUACAUUGGGAAAAUAUUUUUCCACUCUAUUGAAACUUCCUACCUUUCCUUCCCUUCUGUUUCACCAGUUCU
Molecule: small RNA, 519 nt
Filed under: Pan troglodytes (chimpanzee)
Lineage: Eukaryota; Metazoa; Chordata; Mammalia; Primates; Hominidae
Also listed under: 1 other name
Description: processed transcript
Source: RNAcentral